RNAcentral lists this long non-coding RNA (252 nucleotides) under Elaeis guineensis (African oil palm). RNAcentral describes it as "long non-coding RNA (EGUI_LNC049675)". The record is from RNAcentral. Lineage: Eukaryota; Viridiplantae; Streptophyta; Magnoliopsida; Arecales; Arecaceae.
UUUCGAUUGGCAUCCUCCUCCCAAUAGAGCAUACAAUCAUUAAGGCAUGCAUAUAUCAUGUUGUAAGUAAAGUCUAACUGUUCAAUAAUCUUCAAUGUCUUAGAAUUAUUCUUUAAGAUUUAUGCAUUGUCCAGAAGAAUAUCCUCCAAAAGCUCUAGUAUAUAGUUCACUCCAUUAUUACUGAACUCAUUGGAGCAUUUCGCAUGAUACAACCAAAUUAAGAACUCAAGGUUCACCAUCUUUUCACACCCA